This 893-nucleotide long non-coding RNA is filed under the name Durio zibethinus. RNAcentral describes it as "long non-coding RNA (DZIB_LNC001067)". The record is from RNAcentral. Lineage: Eukaryota; Viridiplantae; Streptophyta; Magnoliopsida; Malvales; Malvaceae.
AAGAACAUUUCACAAAUAAAAGAAAUUCUCAAAGCAUUUUAUUUUCUAAACCAAACUAUCACUUAAAAAUAAAAACCCUAUCCAUGUUCAUCAUCAUACCAUCCCUUUAUCAUUGUUUCUAACUCUUUAACCCUUUAUGGUCGUUGGAUCGAAUCAUUUCACAUUUAUGAAUGAUUGCACCUUGGGUUUGAAACCCUCACAAUUCUCAAUGAGCUGGAGGAAAGUUACUGUUUGAGCUAUUAGCCUUACAGAAAAUCCUCUGUGAAUGAAUCUACUACAUCGAAUACCCUCAUUGUCAAACUAAUCCACUAUCUUAUCUGCUUCUGUUCUUGGCAUCUAGAGAAUAUCUAUGUCAAAGCAAAGAGCUUAUUUGAGAACAAGCCCUUCUUUCACAAACAACUUAUCUGCUCUUUCAGGUCCUAUCGAACCUGGUGCUCUCACUUCCUUGCUUUGAGGAGCAUAAUGCAUAGUAUAAGAAGGGGGCAAGGAUUACUACUAUUGAUUAACCGGUGUCAGUUGCUUUAGCAGCUCCAUAAUCCCACCAUCAUAUUCUUAUCUCGUAUUUAGGUUGAAAUAUUUUGGGUAUGAAGGCUUUAAAGGCUUUGAAGGCACAGGGACAACAAGGUAUCUCUCAAACAAGUAAGGAAAGAGUUUUUCAUAUGAAAUGGGAAUAAGAUCUAGCUAUUUCUUUUUCUUGGCUAAUUUUUAAGCAAUAGAUUGACUAGGAGUUCGAGAAUUUGGUGAUGGUGCAAAGGUUCAAAGUUGAGAAAUUGGCUGAAUAGGUGGUUGGGGAAUAAAAGGUUAGAGAUGUAAACUUCUCAAAAACUACAUGAAGUUUUAGGGCCUCAUCUUAGAUGCUUGAAAAUGAGGUUGAAAAUAGACAUGAGAAGGAU